Molecule: unclassified non-coding RNA, 308 nt
Organism: Vulpes vulpes (red fox)
Lineage: Eukaryota; Metazoa; Chordata; Mammalia; Carnivora; Canidae
Gene: 7SK
Rfam family: 7SK RNA
About the family: 7SK was discovered as an abundant small nuclear RNA in the mid-70s but a possible function has only recently been suggested. Two independent studies have found that 7SK RNA binds the CDK9/cyclin T complex (known as elongation factor P-TEFb). P-TEFb activates transcription by phosphorylating the C-terminal domain of RNA polymerase II.
Source: Ensembl
AGAUGUGAGGGCAAUCUGACUGUGUCAUCUGUCACCCCAUCAAUCGCUAAGGUUGACUCUGCUAAUCUGGCUGGCAAAGCAGGUAUCCCUGUCCUCACUCACCACUCCAUUCACAUCCCUCCCAAAGCUGCAAAGCUGUGCACUUGGUUGGUGGAAGAGGAGGACCAUUCUCCCAUUGGGAGUAGCUGCAUUCCCCUGCUAAAACCUCCAGACAAGCUCUCAAGUAUAAAAGAACAUAGGAUAGUCAGGCUUCCAAGACUCCAGACACAUCCAAAUGAGGUGCUACAUGUGGCACUCUGCUUUUCUUG